GAGGGUAUAGCUCACUGAUAAAGUACUUGCCUACCAUGCACAAGACUCUGGGUUCAAUUCCCAGCACUUCCA
RNAcentral lists this transfer RNA (72 nucleotides) under Heterocephalus glaber (naked mole-rat). It matches the Rfam family "tRNA". From Rfam's summary of the family: Transfer RNA (tRNA) molecules are approximately 80 nucleotides in length. Their secondary structure includes four short double-helical elements and three loops (D, anti-codon, and T loops). Lineage: Eukaryota; Metazoa; Chordata; Mammalia; Rodentia; Bathyergidae. The record is from Rfam by way of RNAcentral.